UGAGUACGAGAUGCUACGGCAUCGAAGCAGUCUAUGUCAUACUUCCAAGAAAAGCUUGCACUGUCAGAAACAGAUAAUGCCUGUACCAUAACCGACACAGGUGGGUAGGUAGAGUAUACUAAGGGGCGCGAGAUAACUCUCUCUAAGGAACUCGGCAAAAUGACUCCGUAACUUCGGGAGAAGGAGUGCCUUAUUUUUAAGGUUGCAAUAACAAGAUCCAAGCAACUGUUUACCAAAAACACAGGUCUCCGCUAAGUCGUAAGACGAUGUAUGGGGGCUGACGCCUGCCCAGUGCCAGAAGGUUAAAGAAGUCGGUUAGCAUUCGCGAAGCUGGUAACUGAAGCCCUGGUGAACGGCGGCCGUAACGAUAACGGUCCUAAGGUAGCGAAAUUCCUUGUCGGGUAAGUUCCGACCCGCACGAAAGGCGUAAUGAUUUGGAUACUGUCUCGGAGAGGGGCUCGGUGAAAUAGACUUGUCUGUGAAGAUGCGGACUACCUGCACCUGGACAGAAAGACCCUAUGAAGCUUUACUGUAACUUGAAAUUGAAAUUUGACUUUAUUUGCGCAGUAUAGGUGGGAGGCGUUGAAAAUAUUCUUGCGGGAAUAUUGGAGCCAUCAGUGAGAUACCACUCUUGUAAUGUUAGAUUUCUAACUUUAUAUCAUUAUCUGGUUAAAGAACAGUUUCAGGCGGGCAGUUUGACUGGGGCGGUCGCCUCCCAAAUGGUAACGGAGGCGCACAAAGGUUUCCUCUGAACGGGUAGAAAUCGUAUCUAGAGUGUAAAGGCAUAAGGAAGCUUGACUGUGAGACCUACAAGUCGUGCAGGGACGAAAGUCGGUCUUAGUGAUCUGACGGUGCUGAGUGGAAAGGCCGUCACUCAACGGAUAAAAGUUACUCUAGGAUAACAGGCUGAUCUCCCCCAAGAGUUCACAUCGACGGGGAGGUUUGGCACCUCGAUGUCGGCUCAUCGCAUCCUGGGGCGGUAGUACGUCCCAAGGGUUGGGCUGUUCGCCCAUGAAAGCGGUACGCGAGCUGGGUUCAGAACGUCGUGAGACAGUUCGGUCCAUAUCCGGUGUAGGCGUUAGAAUAUUGAGAGGAGCCUUCUUUAGUACGAGAGGACCGAGAAGGACAUACCUCUGGUGUACCAGUUAUCGUGCCAACGGUAAACGCUGGGUAGCUAUGUAUGGAGUGGAUAACCGCUGAAAGCAUCUAAGUGGGAAGCCCACCUCAGGAUGGGUGCUCUCACAGGGUUAACCUGGUAAGGUCACGGGAAGACCACCCGUUAAUAGGCACUAGGUGGAAGUCCAGUAAUGGA
This 1312-nucleotide ribosomal RNA is filed under the name metagenome. RNAcentral's name for it is "bacterial LSU rRNA". It matches the Rfam family "Bacterial large subunit ribosomal RNA", at positions 1564 to 2885 of the family's 2925-position model. The record is from RNAcentral.